ACGAAGGGGGCUAGCGUUGCUCGGAAUUACUGGGCGUAAAGGGAGCGUAGGCGGACAUUUAAGUCAGGGGGGAAAUCCCGGGGCUAAACCUCGGAAUUGCCUUUGAUACUGGGUGUCUUGAGUGUGGGAGAGGUGUGUGGAACUCCGAGUGUAGAGGUGAAAUUCGUAGAUAUUCGGAUGAACACCAAUGGCGAAGGCGACACACUGGCUCAGUACUGACGCUGAGGCACGAAAGCGUGGGGAGCAAACAG
This 251-nucleotide ribosomal RNA is filed under the name uncultured prokaryote. RNAcentral describes it as "partial 16S rRNA". It matches the Rfam family "Bacterial small subunit ribosomal RNA", at positions 525 to 775 of the family's 1533-position model. The record is from RNAcentral.